CGCGUAGGCGGCUCUAUAAGUCAGAUGUGAAAGCCCUGGGCUUAACCCAGGAAGUGCAUUUGAAACUAUAGGGCUUGAGUAUGGGAGAGGGAAGUGGAAUUCCUGGUGUAGAGGUGAAAUUCGUAGAUAUCAGGAGGAACACCGGUGGCGAAGGCGACUUCCUGGACCAAUACUGACGCUGAGGCGCGAAGGCGUGGGGAGCAAACAGGAUUAGACACCCUGGUAGUCC
RNAcentral lists this ribosomal RNA (229 nucleotides) under uncultured bacterium. Its description in RNAcentral is "partial 16S ribosomal RNA". It matches the Rfam family "Bacterial small subunit ribosomal RNA", at positions 568 to 796 of the family's 1533-position model. The record is from RNAcentral.